This 481-nucleotide ribosomal RNA is filed under the name uncultured bacterium. RNAcentral's name for it is "partial 16S ribosomal RNA". It matches the Rfam family "Bacterial small subunit ribosomal RNA", at positions 28 to 507 of the family's 1533-position model. The record is from RNAcentral.
GAUGAACGCUGGCGGCGUGCUUAACACAUGCAAGUCGAACGAAGCAUUUGCGACAGAUUUUUUCGGAAUGAAGUUGCUUAUGACUGAGUGGCGGACGGGUGAGUAACGCGUGGGUAACCUGCCUUGUACUGGGGGAUAGCAGCUGGAAACGGCUGGUAAUACCGCAUAAGCGCACAAUGUUGCAUGACAUGGUGUGAAAAACUCCGGUGGUAUAAGAUGGACCCGCGUCUGAUUAGCUAGUUGGUGAGAUAACAGCCCACCGAGGCGACGAUCAGUAGCCGACCUGAGAGGGUGACCGGCCACAUUGGGACUGAGACACGGCCCAGACUCCUACGGGAGGCAGCAGUGGGGAAUAUUGCACAAUGGAGGAAACUCUGAUGCAGCGGCGCCGCGUGAGUGAAGAAGUAAUUCGUUAUGUAAAGCUCUAUCAGCAGGGAAGAUAGUGACGGUACCUGACUAAGAAGCUCCGGCUAAAUACGUG